This 9055-nucleotide long non-coding RNA is filed under the name Triticum aestivum (bread wheat). Its description in RNAcentral is "long non-coding RNA (TAES_LNC018084)". The record is from RNAcentral. Lineage: Eukaryota; Viridiplantae; Streptophyta; Magnoliopsida; Poales; Poaceae.
UUGAUGUAUUUCACAUACGCAAGUCUCUCUGGAGUGACAGAACAUUAACUGUAAAAGUGUCUGAUGAUGGUGAAGUUGUUGCAACAGGAGGUAUGUAUCCUUUGCAAAUCUAUUCUAUCUGAGGAUCUACAUUAUUUCGUUUUGUAUAUGGUUAUUCACACAUUUGCUACUAUGUCAUAGGUUUUUUUACACAUUUGCUAUUAGUUUCUCUCACCAUCCUCUGAUUUCACCACCGUGCCAUUGGUCAGCGCUAGUUAGACUCAGCUGGGCACUAUGUAUUAGCUGGGUAGCGGAAGCAUUGAGUAUUUUGGGCUAUUGAUGAUGUGAGAAUUUACCAAGUAUUUUGCAGUAGGCAUGCAGACUUAAAGCUCUUCCAUGUCAGGUUGCGCUACUCUUGCAGAAACUUCCUCAAAAUGCAAUUUUCACAAGUAGUAAGAUCUUAGACCUCACAGAAAUAGUAGAAAUUUCUCAGCUGUAUUACUCUACAAAAAGGUAGGCCCCAAGCAUAGCUAUCACACAAAAUUAUCCAAGUGCAGCUAUCAAACAGCGAAAAGUAUUCUGAAAAAUAAGCAACAUUAGGUGGCAUACAUGCGACAUUGAAGGUUCAGGGCUGCACACAGCAUUACAAGCAAUAAGUUUCACAAGUUCUUACUUCCGAAAGCACCAGGACUGCAUACUUGUCACUCAAGUUUUUCAAAAGCUCCUGGAAUGCAUAAUAAUUGCUAAUUUUAGAAACAGCAGGACUGCAUACUUGCCAUUACAAGUCUGAAACCACAAUUUACAUGGCAAUAGUAUCUGCUGCAGCUUCUGUAUCAAUCUGAUCAUGUGGUGAUGUUUGUGGCUGGUUUUGGUGCAGCAUUUUUGUUACUUCAAAUCACAGAUCUUUUCCUUUUGACCCUUUUCCACCACUUUCUUACCAGUCUUCCUGGAGGUGCAUCAGAGUACCAGUUUUACAAAUAAAAGGAAAUACAUUAAUCUCCUGUAGCUAAAGAGAUGCAUCUGUUUUAUAGAAUUAACUAAUUUUACUGAAGCUAAAUAAAUGCAUUAGUUUUACAUGAGAACAAUACUUUUACAAAAUCUAAAGAAAAAGGCAUUUGGGAGGAAGAGUGCCAUACAUUGCUUGCACUAAUCGAGGGACCAGUCUGUUCAUCUUCUGAAAAUUCUUGGUCAACUUACUCUUUACAAUUCUUCUGUAUCUGGCCAAGCUGUCCACAGCAUUUGCAUUUCCUCUUUGUAGGCCCAACCUAGCACCUAUUUCAUUCAAACCUGGAUUAUAUUCUUUCUUGGUCUCCUAGGAAGCCUCUUUAGUAGAGGAGGAUAAAGUUUGAGACGUUGAUAUUUCCAUAGCAUUGCAUGUAUGCUGUUUGCAUAAGCUGCUUAUACUUCAACUUUGCUUCCUGGUUCCCUAAGUGAAGUGAUGACGAAAAUAGCAUGGACAAGGAGGGUGUAGUGACCCGACUCGGUGAAAGUGGGCAGGGCGAUCCUCAGGUGCCUUGUGAUUCUCAUCCGUCCAAAGGGAAUGUUCUCGUCGGGCUGAGCAAACUCGAUUAUGGCGGUCGACAUCUACAUUUUUGGAAGGGAGGAGAAAUCAGUGAUGAGUCAGUGAAGAUUAUAAGAACAAGUUAAUUAUAUAUGAAGGUUGUAAAAUAAGGUUUUUCAUCCUAUGGCUUUUCAUUUCCUAGGGUUGCGUCCUACUGUCAGCAUGUGCUCUGAUACCAUCUUGUAGCGACCCGAACUGGUGUGGUGAGAACGAUCGACCUACGGGCGCAAUCAAUGCUUCCCUCAUACUUGGACAACCAAUCCAUGCCUAAGGUUACAUCCAAUCCCUGUGACUUGAGUAUAAUCAGAUCCAAAGGAAAGACAUGUCCCCCUAUGGUGAAAGGCAGCUGAAAACACCCUGACUAAUCAUAGACUCUGCUCUCGGGGAACUCACUAGGAUGGGUGACUUAAGAACUACGGUAGGCAACUUAUGCUUAUCCGCAAAUACCUUGAUAUGAAUGAAUGAGAUGCACCAUUGUCAAAAAGAACAAGGGCUAGAAAUGAAUUAACCAAGAACUUACCAAUCACUGCAUCUGGCUGUUCAUAGAUUUCCUACACAUCGACAUGGUUCACAUGCCCCUUAGUGAAAGGGUUGGGCUUCUUACCACCAGAAUUUCCAUUUCCGUUUCCAUUCUUUAGCUCAGGACAGUAGUGCCCUGUGUUCUUCCACUUGAAGCAGGUGAUGUGGCUCAGAUCCUUCUUUACCGAUGUAGCAGGGUUGGAACGAUGCUGAUUGCCAUUUCCUCCAUUUCCAUUGUCAUUUCUGUGGCCACUGUGAUUGUGUCUAUGGCCUCCAUGCUAAGAAUGACCUCCAUGAUUAUGAUGGUUGUGCACUCCAAACUUACUGGGUACUGAUCCAGAAUAUCCAAAAAAAGGUGUGGAGCGGGGCUUUUUACUGAGCUCCAGAAUGAAACUUGCCCUGUCUGUAUUUACUCUUGCGGUUCUCCAUCAACCGGUGCUUGCCCUCAUGAAUAAUAGUCUUAUCAACCAACUCUUGAUAGUUAUCAAAAGUCGCUACCGUCAGCUGAACUCCCAGCUCGUCGUUCAGUUCCUUCGAAAAUUUCUCCUAUUUGGCUGCAUCUGUGGCCACGUCUCCUGGAGCAUAGCAGGCCAUAUUGCUGAACUCAUCAAUGUAUUUAGCCACUGAGCAACCUCCUUGGCGUAAGUUAUGGAAUUCCCUCUUCUUGAGACUCAUAGCUCCCGCUGAAACAUGAGCAGUACGGAAAGUCCGCUGGAACUGGUCCCAAGUCACAUUCGCCAUGGGGUAUGUGGUUGUGUAAUUCUCCCACCAUGAAGCUGCCGGUCCAUCCAGUUUAUGAGAGACAAACCUCACCUUCUCCGCAUCGGUGCAUCCUGCUGUGGCCAGCUUCCUACUCAUAUUGUGAAGCCAGUCAUCUGUGAAGAUCGGCUCUGGGCAGCUUGAUUGGGGGGUUCAAUCUCAGAAAGCGGGAGAGACUAUCAACUUGGGGUGGGGGCGAUGGAGGUGGGUUGUUGUGUUGUUGUUGUUGUUGUUGUCCCUGAGCCAUUUCAGGGACACGUCUUGGCGGCAUCUGAUGGGUUAGCAUAGAUGAGAUAUAGAGAGAAUUAGGCCUAAGGGAAAACACUACCCAUAUGCAAAUGAUAGCAAUUAACUCCAACUCACACCAUUCAAUUUGCAAUCAAGGUUCACGCAAUCAAGCCUAAGAUAAGCUAUGCCGCAAUGGUCUCACAAAUGAAUCUAAAACGAACUCGGAUAUUCUAAUUGAGUAUCGAAGUUCCUAAUGUUCAAUGGUGGCCUGCAAACUAGCUCUCGUCGGAAGAAGACUAUCAUAACGAUGUCGGCUCCAGCUUCAUCGCUCUUCGCUUCAUCAUCAAGCUUGUCAUUAUGAUCCUGGUCCUGGCUGACAUAACACCCAUAGGAGUGGUCGCCCUGGAUGUUCUCCCCUUGAUCGAGCUUCUCUUCGGCUUCUUCCAACUGAAACUUCACGUCUUCAUACUUCUCUUGUAGCUCAUCGAUCUCCGCCUCAUGUUCUGCGUGGGCUUCCUAGAGUUCCUCCUCAAGCUCGGCUUUGCGGGUCAUAAGAUUUUUGGCGGUGAUCAGGCUGCGAUGCAUCUCUUCCUCCAUCAUGCGGAUGUGGUCCUCCAAGUCCUGGAUGUGGGAUGCUAUCGAGUCAUCUUCAAUGGUACGCACCACCUCUCCAUCGGUGUCUCGGCAUGCGUACAUGGCAAAAGAGGUUCCUCUGAGGUCCGGCCUAUACUCCUUUCGGAUGCGUCCCAGCGUGGCGUGUGCGGCGAUGCCCUUGCCCAAGCCCCAUGAUGCUACGUCCAAGUAGAAGUCGAUGGGCUCGGUGAUGACUCCAAAGGUCUGUCCUGGGAUAUGAACGUUGAUUCUACAACACGUCUCCUCGGGCAGCCUUGAUACUCGAGGAGACGCGCUGGAGAAUCGACGUUCAUAUCCCAAGGUAGACCUUUGGAGUCAUCACCGAGCCAUCGACUUCUACUUGGACGUAGCAUCAUGAGGCUAGCAAGGGCAUCGCCACACAUGUUGCGCCGGGACACAUCUGAAAUGAGUAUAGCCCGGACCUCAGAGGAACCUCUUUCGCCAUGUACGCAUGCUGAGACAUCGAAGGAGAGGUGGUGCGUACCAUUGAAGAUGACUCGAUAGCAUCCCACAUCCAAGACUUGGGAGGACCACAUCCGCAUGAUGGAGGAAGAGAUGCAUCGCAGCCUGAUCACUGCCAAAAAUCUUAUGACCCGCAAAGCCAAGCAUGAGGAACUCCAGGAAGCCCACGCAGAACAUGAGACAGAGAUCGAUGAGCUACAGGAGAAGUAUGAAGCCGUGAAGUUUCAGUUGGAAGAAACCGAAGAUAAACUCGAUCAAGGGGAGAACAUCCAGGACGACCACUCCUAUGGGUGUUACAUCAGCGGGACCAGGAUCAUGAAGACGAGCUUGAUGAUGAAGCGGAGAUCGAUGAAGCUGGAGCAGACAUCGUUAUAAUAGUCUUCUUCAGAUGAGAGCGAGUUUGCAGACCACCAUUAAACAUUAGGAAUUUUGAUACUCGAUUAGAAUAUUUGAUUAGUUCGUUUUAGAUUCAUUUUGGAGACCAUUGUGGCAUGGCUUAUUUUAGGCUUGAUUGUGUGAACCUUGAUUGCAAUUUGAAUGGUGUGAUUUGGAGUUAAUUUCUAUCAUUUGCAUAUGGGUAGUGUUUCCCCCGGGCCUAAUUCUCUCUAAUAUCUCAUCUAUGUUAACCCAUCAGCUGCCACCAAGACAUGCACCUUCCGGAAAUGGCUCAGAGAACAAUAUGCCACCCGGCUUAAAGCAGUUGCUUCAGACACAGAACUAGAUGAUGCAACUUCUCAUGCAAAACAUGAACUAGAACAACAACCCACCUCCACCGCCCCACCCCAAGUUGAUAGUCUCACCCACUUUCUGAUAUUGAACCCACCGAUUUUCUCAAGCAGCCUAGAGCCGAUCGUCGCAGAUGACUGGCUUAUAUGAGUAGUAAGCUGGCCACAGCAGGAUGCACCGAUGCGGAGAAAGUGAGGUUUGUCUCUCAUCAACUGGAUGGACCGACAACUUCAUGGUGGGAGAAUUACAUGACCACAUACCCCAUGGCGACUGUGACCUAGGACCAAUUUCAGCAGGCGUUUUGUACUGCUCAUGUUUCAGCUGGAGCCAUGAGUCUCGAUAAAAGAGAAUUCUGUAACUUAUGCCAGGGAGGUCGCUCAAUGGCUGAAUACGUUGAUGAGUUCAGCAAGUUGUCCCGUUAUGCUCCAGGAGACAUGGCCACAGAUGCACCCAAGCAUGAGAAAUUUUUGGAGGGACUGAAAGACGAACUGGGAGUUCAGCAGAUGGUUGCGACUAUUGAUAAAUAUCAAGAGUUGGUUGAUAAGACUAUUAUUCUUGAGGUGGUGGAGAACGGUAAGAGGAAAUACGGACAGGGCAAGUUUUAUUCUGGAGAUCAGUAGAAGCCCCGCUCACACUUUUUCUGGAUAUUCUGGGUCAGGCCUCGGUAAAUUUGGAGCGCAUAACCAUCAUAAUCAUGGAGGUCAUUCUCAGCAUGGAGGCAAUGUACACAAUCACAGUGGCCAACCUUGCUACACCAGUAAAGAAAGAUCUGAGCCUCAUCACCUGCUUCAAGUGCAAGAACACAGGGCACUACUUCAACGAAUAUCCUGAGCUGAAGAAUGGAAAUGGCAAUGGAAGUUCUGGAGGCAAGAAGCCCAACCCUUUCACAAAGGGGCAUGUGAACCAUAUCAAUGUGAAGGAAGUCUAUGAGCAGCUGGAUGUAGUGAUUGGUAAGUUCUUGGUUAUUCCUUUCCAACCCUUGUUCUUUUUGACACUGGUGCAUCUGAUUCAUUCAUAUCAAGGGUAUUUGUGGAGCAGAGUCUAUGGCUAGCCAGAGGUGUUUUCAGUUGCCUUUGACCAUAGGGGGACAUGUCUUUCCUUCGGAUCUGAUCAUACUUAAGUCAUAGGGAUCGGAUGUAAUCUUAGGCAUGGAUUGGUUGUCCAAGUAUGAGGGAAGCUUUGAUUGCGCCCGUAGGUCGAUCGUUCUAUGCCAUGUAUGGAACCUAUUUCACACACUUAGAGCCUUUGAACCACGGUAUGCCAUGUAUGUGAAAUAGGUUCCAUACAUGGCAUAGGAGUGGGUUCAAAGGUGCAAAAAGAUUCAAUUUAAAAUGAUCUACGGUUUUCAUCCGUAGAGCUUUAUUCAGUACACCCAUUAUUUCAAACUUUAUUCAUAUUAAUUUCACUCCUAUGCCAUGUAUGGAACCUAUUUCACAUAGUUGCAUUUUUGCAUUUAGAACUUUAUGCUAGUUAGUGUGUUGGGUUUCAUUUGGUGUUUUGUAAGUCUUGCCGGAGAGCCACCAGCACGACCUCACGCCGCCCACACGACCAAGAGGGAAAGCCACCAGCAUGCCAUUGUGCCCGCUGGAGAGCCAACCAUGCAUACCGCCACCCGGAGCCGCCGCUCUGGCAUCCAUGUCCGAGACACCACCAACCAUCCACAUCACGACGCAUCUAUCACGGAAGGAAGAGUAAAAGAGUCUCCUUUCACUCCUAGCCCGGUAUCAGGCACGAAGUCUGGGUCGAUGCCUCCACGGUAGGAGGCGUCCACACCCGCAUUCCUAGUCANNNNNNNNNNNNNNNNNNNNNNNNNNNNNNNNNNNNNNNNNNNNNNNNNNNNNNNNNNNNNNNNNNNNNNNNNNNNNNNNNNNNNNNNNNNNNNNNNNNNNNNNNNNNNNNNNNNNNNNNNNNNNNNNNNNNNNNNNNNNNNNNNNNNNNNNNNNNNNNNNNNNNNNNNNNNNNNNNNNNNNNNNNNNNNNNNNNNNNNNNNNNNNNNNNNNNNNNNNNNNNNNNNNNNNNNNNACUGAUGGCCAUCGCCGAGUAGACUCGCUAUCAAUGUCGAUCUGGCCGACAGAAAGGUGGUGUCCUGACCACCACCAUCGACCACCAUGCCCGCGAGAAAAGAAAACUCGCCCACGGGCACCGCGCCAGCCUCGCCUACCCGAAGCACGAGCCCUAACCCACCUCGGGACCAAAUCUGGUCCGCCCAAGCACGAGCCCUAGGACGUAGCCACCUCCGUCCCACGGACAAUCCGCACGCCGCCGGCCUGGAACCAGGAGAAGGCCGCAACGACCACCGCCACGGUAGCUGCGAACACGGCAACGACCCAUUCAUCCACCGGGACCCGAAAGCGACCCAAUCGGAUAGGCCGCAUCACUAGCCGCCAGCUGCGCCCCCGAGCCCGCCGCUACUCCCGAGCAGCCACCACGAGGCCUCGUGGCACAAAACACCCAGAUCUGGAUAGAGCCAACCGGCCUCCGCCACCACAAGCCAACCUCUGGCGCUCCCAGGACGACGCAGCACGCCACCCAAUAGAGGCCCAUGGCCUCAGCCACCUCCCACGCCACGCCCCAAUCACCCUGCACUAGAUCCGACCGGUCCUGGGCAAGGAGCAAGGCGCACGCACCCGUCUGAGCACACCACCUCGUGGCCGCCGCACCACGGCCAAGCAGCAGCUGACCACCGGGCCGCCAUUAGUCGCAGAUCCGCUCACCCGCUGCUGCGUCAGAGGGCCCCACGCCAGCCCACCUCCCCCGCCCGUGUAGCUGUCCCACGCCAGCUGCGCCGCGAGCGAAGGGGAGUCAGAGCCCCUCCGCCACCUAUGCCGGUCGGGCUUAGCCCGCCGGUGGCAGCGGGGGAGGGAAAAGUAGCGGCGACGCGGGNNNNNNNNNNUGUAGGCUUCUACUGUUGCAAGUGCUCCAUCUUUGAAAAGAAAUUCGGAUGAUAUGUAUAUAUAUAUACAUACACAUUUAGUACAUUAAUGUGUACAUUAGCAUAUUUAGACAUUUAGUACAUUGCAUGCUGCUAUGUAGCCUAGGAUAUAUAGAUAUGGUCCUAGUUAACCUACCGAUAAAUUCAGUUAAUAUAUAGAUAUGGCCCUAGUUGUGAAAUUUUUGUUGCCAAAGUUUGCCACAUAAGACAAUGUGACAUAAUAAAUAAGUAGAGAGAGAAAUGUUAAAUGUAAUUUAACCAAUAAUUCUAGCACUAGCUUCAAAGUUUAGAGUGGGAAACUUAGUACUCUUCUCAUUUCCUAUUGAACAGCAUAAACAUACUAUAGAUGGUAUUUUUGCUAGCGGAGAACUUAGGUUGGAUAAACAUCGUUGAUCGUACUGUUUUUGGUCUGAUCGAGCGGUUAUGGCGUACUGGCAAAUAGCAAAUGUGAAGGAGUCAAAAUAUAUNNNNNNNNNNNNNNNNNNNNNNNNNNNNNNNNNNNNNNNNNNNNNNNNNNNNNNNNNNNNNNNNNNNNNNNNNNNNNNNNNNNNNNNNNNNNNNNNNNNNNNNNNNNNNNNNNNNNNNNNNNNNNNNNNNNNNNNNNNNNNNNNNNNNNNNNNNNNNNNNNNNNNNNNNNNNNNNNNNCAAUUAUGUAAAAUUCUCUUUCGUAGUUCACUGUGUUUGAUGAGUAUGGUAAUACAAAUUUUUUUCCUUAACUGAGACGUUGUUCUUUGUGCAGUUAGUUAUCCUUUCGGAGAAGGGACACCAUGAUAAUACCAUGUGACUUGACCAAACGGCCCAGGAAGAUAAGUUUGGGAGUUCAGGAUGACAAGCGUGAAUCCUGCAAGUUUCUGCUAGAUGCAUUUGAUUUCUUUGGCGGUGUAAUUCCUUGUCAUAUCCUUGUACCGCAAGUACUGGUGCAGACAAAGUGACUGCUCUUUCCUUUCUGCGUGAAAACGGGGACGUCAUGUGAGCUGACCGUGUACAUUUCUGAAUGCUUUUUGAGUCCCUACUUCAUGUAUGGCUUGUUCGAUGAACAAACAAGUAUCCUGGUCCACUGAAUGAACAGAAGUUGAGGAUCCUGAAAGUGUAUAGUACUUGCAAUUCAAAAGCGGAACCACUUUGAUUUUUGUGGUAAUUUUGGGCUUCUUGUUUUUACCUGGUGCUGUCACGUGUUUUGGUGUGCGCGUCGCCGCUGUGGUUGAAUUCGGGCGGUCACCGCUUAGUACGAGCCUUCAUGAAGCAACCGCUUUCUU